AAAGUCAUAAGAAUCAGGGAGCCUGCCCCAAAUUGCCUCCUAUGAUAACUUUCCACAAAGACUGGAGGGGAGGCUUCAAACAUCUUCCUGCAGUGUCCAGCAAGACAGCGAGGCAGACUCCCUUUCUCCUGCCAAAGCCACGUGGAGCCAGACAGAACCACAAGCAUACCUGUGGUGCUUGGAGGCCCAAGUAGAAACUUGAAUGCUCACGGCUGCAUUGGCAGCUUCUACUUGCCUGCCUGGAUCACCGUUCCUCAUGAGAACUUGGAAAAGCAGGACUAUCAUUCUUGCUUGACAGACGAAGAAACCAAGCCUCAGGACUGCGUGCAAUUCUACUUGGAGAUCUUCAUAACACCUUAAGGGAAAAAUCCUUUUUGAAAGAAAAACAAGUCUGGGUGGUGCUUGAAAAUUCAGAAGGCAGCUAGAAACUCUGCCAAUUACAACUGGUGAUUGCUGAGUUCUGGAGACAGACUGGGCUUCUGCUUUCUUUUGGUGGAGGUGUCUGCUUGCAGAAAAUUUAUGUUCUGGGAUUUACAACUUCAGGGAGACAAAGGAAACUCCAGCUCAUCUCCCACAUCAUUGAUUGAGAGGACCAUUUUCUGACUGUCUGCACACGUUUCCUAUACUACCCUUUAAUGCAACAAUGGGAUGAAGAGAUGAAGACUUCUAGCAGGCUACCUCAGAAAGGUUGCUGACCAAAGGCUGUAUGGACCAAAAAGUCAUAACACCACCCUGGAUGAAAGGACAUUUACCUAAGGAAUUACCCGCUCUCAAUUCUUCCCAGGGAUGGGCAUUUGAAUUAUUUCCAGUUUUUGGCUAUUAUGAAAAAAACUGCUAUGAACAUUCAUACACAAGUGUGUGUGUGGACCCAUGUUUUCACUGAUCAAGGCCUAAAUACCUACGUGGUGCUUCGUGAACCCUGGAUGCUACAGUCUCUGGCCACAGCACUAAAUGUAUGCUGAGAUCUGGCUUCACGGUCGAGGGUGUUGCUGGUUUUCAAUGUGCCUGACAUAGGAUCAAUGGUGAAUGCACCAGAAGCCUCAUCAGUCAGAAAAUACUCAGUUUGCCCAUUCAGGCCUUCAUCCUUGUCCACAGCUGAAAGCACAAGAACCACUGUUCCCACUUCAGCAUCUUCUCUCACAGAGGACUGGUAAUAAAGUGUGGGAAAAGAAGGACUGUGGUCAUUGGCAUCCAAAACUCUAACUUGCAGGUGUAUUACAGAGCUCCUAGGUGGAUCUCCCAGGUCAGAGCACAGAAUGACAAGGGUAAAAUUGCUGAUUUGCUCCCGGUCCAAAGCACGAGUGGUUGAGAGUUCUCCUGACAUCUCAUUUAUAGUAAAGCACUCAUCAGUAUUUCCAUCUAUUAAAGAAAACAAUUACAAAUUCAUUUGAAUUGAAAAAGUAGCAGCUCUUUGCUAGCACUAUCUAUGGUAUUCAUUUAUACAUUCAUUAAAAAUAUAUUUAUUCCCGAUUAUAUUGUAUCCUAGCACUUUUGUAAAUAUUGGGGAUAUAACAGUAAGCAUGAUAAAGGCUCUGCCCUCAUGAAACUUCUAUUGAGGGGAUAAACAGAAUAAUAUGAUUCAAUGCCUAUCUUUAAUCAGUCAAUAAUUAGAACACUUGCUUUCACUAAUUUGCAGCCGUAUGAUUUUUUGUGUGCAUCUACAACUUUUAAUUUUAAUAUAUUUUUCCUCAUAAGAGGAUGAAGAUAUAUGUUUUAUUUAACACAAAACAAUAGAUGAGGAUAAAAAAAACAGAAUAUAAUGUCCUUUUUUAAGAUAUCAAUCAGAAAUGAACAGAUUUGAUUUGUAGUUAUUUUCUCAAAUAGUACCCACUACAGUAUUCAUGCCUGUUAUACUAUUGCAGUAAGCCUUCUCUUCUACAUGUCCACAGCAUUUUGUACAAGAAUCAUAACACUUUGGUUAGAGUUAGUUGGACACUUGACUAUUUCUUCCAAAACAUAAAUAAGGACAUUGUUCUAUUCAUCUAUUCCUUAAAAAAAAUCUGCCCUUUAUUAUAUUCCAUCGUAUCAAGUAGAAUAAAACUUAAAAUUGAACACAGGGACAAAAAGCUUUCAAAGACAUUUUUAAAUAACCCUGAAAAUUAGUGAAGAAAAAUGUGGUUCAUAUGCUUGCCAGCCAUAUUCUUGGAUGAAGAGCAGGCCCAAUAGUGUGGGAACUUACUAGAGUCUGCAUAUCAGAGGCAUAUGAGGACCAAGUGGAAUGGCAUUCAAAGGAAACAACAGCAAUAGGUAGCUUUAGGGAGGAGGAGAGGGCCCUGCAUUUGUAUUCAUGAGGAACAGUUAAUUUACACCAAAAGUAGAGAUGAUUGGACAAACCCACAUUUCUGUAGUAUUUGUGGCUGAUAAAGUGAUUCAGUCAUUCAGCAAACAUUUGAUGAGCAUCUACUAUGUGCCAAGUUUGUGCUCAAGAUCACAGAUAUGAAGGGAGUAAGACAUGACCUAGCUCCAAGAGUUCACAGUCUAAAAGGAAAGGCUGGUCAAUACUCGGGUAUUAAAGUACCAUGUGAAAAUCAUAUGUACAGAGUGCUAAAUGAGUACAUAUAGAUAGUGCUAGCCAAGGGGUGCUAUUUCUCUGAGAAGUACAGAGAAAGGGCACAUAGUCCUAUGUUAGUAAGUUCAAGAAAUGCUUAUUGGAAAAAGUGACAUCAAAUCUCACUCCUAAAGUGGAGAAAGCCAUACUACAAGUUUUGGGGAGAGUGUUCUAUGCAGAGGAAAGAGCCCGUGGGAAGUUCUAGGAAUAUAAGAAUUAACAGGCUGCAAAUGUUUGGGUGUGACUAGUACACAGGGUUCCUGGGUGUUUGUAUGUGGCAAGUAGGAAAAGGGCUGGCAGUAGCGGUAGAGGAAAGACAUGAAUUUGGGAGGUAAGCAGGGGGUCAAAUUGUGAAGGGCUCUCUGUAUACUGCUGAAGAUUCUAUAGUUUCUCCUGAAAUCCAUGAGGGAGCCCCCUGAAGGAUUUUGGACAGGAAAGUGUCAUGAAUCAAAUUUCUAUUUUAAGAAUAGUAUCGAGGCAGCAAUGUCAAAGUUUGUUUAGAAAAUAGGAUGGUUCCUGUAAUCCCAGAACUUUUGGAGACCAAGGCGGGAGGAUUGCUUGAGUCCAGGAAUUUGAGUCCAGCCUGGGCAACAUAGUGAGAC
RNAcentral lists this long non-coding RNA (3150 nucleotides) under Homo sapiens (human). Its description in RNAcentral is "HSALNT0323021". The record is from RNAcentral. Lineage: Eukaryota; Metazoa; Chordata; Mammalia; Primates; Hominidae.